GACGAAUGCUGGCGGCGUGCUUAACACAUGCAAGUCGAGCGAUGAAGCACCUUCGGGUGUGAAUUAGCGGCGAACGGGUGAGGAACACGUGAGAAAUCUGCCUUCAACACUGGGAUAACUCCGGGAAACCGGGGCGAAUACCGGAUAUGAAACCUGCGGGCAUCCGCGGGUUUGGAGAGCUUUUCGGUUGAAGAUGAUCUCGCGGCCUAUCAGCUUGUUGGUGAGGUAAUGGCUCACCAAGGCGACGGCGGGUAGCCGGCCUGAGCGGGCGACCGGCCACACCGGGACUGAGACACGGCCCAGACGCCGACGGGAGGCAGCAGUGGGGAAUAUUGGGCAAUGGAGGAAACUCUGACCCAGCGACGCCGCGUGCGGGAUGAAGGCCUUCGGGUUGUAAGCCGCUUUCAGCAGGGAAGAAGCGAAAGUGACGGUACCUGCAGAAGAAGCACCGGCUAACUAUGUGCCAGCCGCCGCAGUAA
This 479-nucleotide ribosomal RNA is filed under the name uncultured bacterium. RNAcentral describes it as "partial 16S ribosomal RNA". It matches the Rfam family "Bacterial small subunit ribosomal RNA", at positions 28 to 523 of the family's 1533-position model. The record is from RNAcentral.